RNAcentral lists this ribosomal RNA (159 nucleotides) under Triticum aestivum (bread wheat). RNAcentral describes it as "partial small subunit ribosomal RNA". Lineage: Eukaryota; Viridiplantae; Streptophyta; Magnoliopsida; Poales; Poaceae. The record is from RNAcentral.
AUGCUCAUCUCUUGGAUAAUUUGGAAUGAAAGAAAUGCACGAGUUUUUCGACACAAGAGCACUCCUUGUAUGAUCCUUAUUCAAAGUAUUAAGGCGGAGGUGUCACUAUGGCUGUCCGCGGGUGCAAAACAAUUGGGCUUAAUUAUGCCGCGAGAGUAG